AUUGAACGCUGGCGGCAUGCCUUACACAUGCAAGUCGAGCGGCAGCGCGGGGGCAAACCUGGCGGCGAGCGGCGAACGGGUGAGUAAUACAUCGGAGCGUGUCCUGUCGUGGGGGAUAACCAGUCGAAAGAUUGGCUAAUACCGCAUGACCUCGUAAGAGAAAAGCGGGGGAUCGCAAGACCUCGCGCGAUUGGAGCGGCCGAUGUCGGAUUAGCUAGUUGGCGGGGUAAAAGCCCACCAAGGCGACGAUCCGUAGCUGGUAUGAGAGAACGACCAGCCACACUGGGACUGAGACACGGCCCAGACUCCUACGGGAGGCAGCAGUGGGGAAUUUUGGACAAUGGGGGCAACCCUGAUCCAGCCAUGCCGCGUGUGUGAAGAAGGCCUUCGGGUUGUAAAGCACUUUCGGCCGGAACGAAAUCGCGCGGGUGAACAUCCCGCGUGGAUGACGGUACCGGAAGAAGAAGCACCGGCUAACUACGUGCCAGCCGCCGCCGUAA
RNAcentral lists this ribosomal RNA (500 nucleotides) under uncultured bacterium. RNAcentral describes it as "partial 16S ribosomal RNA". It matches the Rfam family "Bacterial small subunit ribosomal RNA", at positions 29 to 523 of the family's 1533-position model. The record is from RNAcentral.